RNAcentral lists this small nucleolar RNA (106 nucleotides) under Gossypium hirsutum (cotton). Its description in RNAcentral is "Plant small nucleolar RNA R71". It matches the Rfam family "Plant small nucleolar RNA R71". Rfam says of the family: R71 is a member of the C/D box family of snoRNAs containing the C (UGAUGA) and D (CUGA) box motifs. Multiple nearly identical copies of this snoRNA have been identified in Arabidopsis, and it is thought to function as a 2'-O-ribose methylation guide for 18S ribosomal RNA. RNAcentral also lists the same sequence under 1 other name. The record is from Rfam by way of RNAcentral. Lineage: Eukaryota; Viridiplantae; Streptophyta; Magnoliopsida; Malvales; Malvaceae.
AUCCCAUGAUGAGGACACUUACGAAGUAAUUCCUUGAAUCUUUCUCACGCCUCAUACAAGGAUUCUUCAUCCAAUUAUGAAAAGUGGUUAUCUCAUUUCGCAACUU